RNAcentral lists this ribosomal RNA (482 nucleotides) under uncultured bacterium. RNAcentral describes it as "partial 16S ribosomal RNA". It matches the Rfam family "Bacterial small subunit ribosomal RNA", at positions 30 to 505 of the family's 1533-position model. The record is from RNAcentral.
AUUGAACGCUGGCGGCAGGCCUAACACAUGCCAGUCGAGCGGAUGAAGGGAGCUUGCUCCUGGAUUCAGCGGCGGACGGGUGAGUAAUGCCUAGGAAUCUGCCUGGUAGUGGGGGAUAACGUCCGGAAACGGGCGCUAAUACCGCAUACGUCCUGAGGGAGAAAGUGGGGGAUCUUCGGACCUCACGCUAUCAGAUGAGCCUAGGUCGGAUUAGCUAGUUGGUGGGGUAAAGGCCUACCAAGGCGACGAUCCGUAACUGGUCUGAGAGGAUGAUCAGUCACACUGGAACUGAGACACGGUCCAGACUCCUACGGGAGGCAGCAGUGGGGAAUAUUGGACAAUGGGCGAAAGCCUGAUCCAGCCAUGCCGCGUGUGUGAAGAAGGUCUUCGGAUUGUAAAGCACUUUAAGUUGGGAGGAAGGGCAGUAAGUUAAUACCUUGCUGUUUUGACGUUACCAACAGAAUAAGCACCGGCUAACUUCG